GGGCAUGUAGCUCAGUUGGUUAGAGCACCACCUUGACAUGGUGGGGGUCGAUGGUUCGAGUCCAUUCAUGCCCACCA
This 77-nucleotide transfer RNA is filed under the name Pseudomonadales bacterium. RNAcentral's name for it is "tRNA-Val". It matches the Rfam family "tRNA". Rfam says of the family: Transfer RNA (tRNA) molecules are approximately 80 nucleotides in length. Their secondary structure includes four short double-helical elements and three loops (D, anti-codon, and T loops). The record is from RNAcentral. RNAcentral also lists the same sequence under 1 other name. Lineage: Bacteria; Pseudomonadati; Pseudomonadota; Gammaproteobacteria; Pseudomonadales.